RNAcentral lists this ribosomal RNA (497 nucleotides) under uncultured bacterium. Its description in RNAcentral is "partial 16S ribosomal RNA". It matches the Rfam family "Bacterial small subunit ribosomal RNA", at positions 28 to 507 of the family's 1533-position model. The record is from RNAcentral.
GAUGAACGCUGGCGGCGUGCCUAAUACAUGCAAGUCGAGCGAACGGACGAGAAGCUUGCUUCUCUGAUGUUAGCGGCGGACGGGUGAGUAACACGUGGAUAACCUACCUAUAAGACUGGGAUAACUUCGGGAGACCGGAGCUAAUACCGGAUGAUAUUUUGAACCGCAUGGUUCAAAAGUGAAAGACGGUCUUGCUGUCACUUAUAGAUGGAUCCGCGCUGCAUUAGCUAGUUGGUAAGGUAACGGCUUACCAAGGCAACGAUGCAUAGCCGACCUGAGAGGGUGAUCGGCCACACUGGAACUGAGACACGGUCCAGACUCCUACGGGAGGCAGCAGUAGGGAAUCUUCCGCAAUGGGCGCAAGCCUGACGGAGCAACGCCGCGUGAGUGAUGAAGGUCUUCGGAUCGUAAAACUCUGUUAUUAGGGAAGAACAUAUGUGUAAGUAACUGUGCACAUCUUGACGGUACCUAAUCAGAAAGCCACGGCUAACUACGUG